GGGUCAGUAGGUUGGUCGUGACUCCGGUACGUACUGGUCUCACUGAUUCCUCCUUCCUGAAGUACCGUAAUGCCAUUAAUUUGGUGUUGCGGGGAAACAGGACUGUUACUUUGAAAAAAUUAGAGUGUUUAAAGCAAGCUAACGCUUGAAUACAUUAGCAUGGAAGAAUGAAAUAGGACGAUCGAUCCUAUUUUGUUGGUUUCUAGGAUUGACGUA
RNAcentral lists this ribosomal RNA (216 nucleotides) under Glomeromycotina sp. RNAcentral describes it as "partial small subunit ribosomal RNA". The stretch from base 40 to 216 matches the Rfam family "Eukaryotic small subunit ribosomal RNA", at positions 686 to 864 of the family's 1831-position model. Lineage: Eukaryota; Fungi; Glomeromycota. The record is from RNAcentral.